This 1165-nucleotide ribosomal RNA is filed under the name Pleurocapsales cyanobacterium ATA3-5Q-KO4. Its description in RNAcentral is "bacterial SSU rRNA". It matches the Rfam family "Bacterial small subunit ribosomal RNA", at positions 357 to 1532 of the family's 1533-position model. The record is from RNAcentral. Lineage: Bacteria; Bacillati; Cyanobacteriota; Cyanophyceae; Pleurocapsales.
GGGGAAUUUUCGCAAUGGGCGAAAGCCUGACGGAGCAAUACCGCGUGAGGGAGGAAGGUUUUUGGAUUGUAAACCUCUUUUUUAAAGGAAGAAGAAAGUGACGGUACUUUAAGAAUCAGCAUCGGCUAACUCCGUGCCAGCAGCCGCGGUAAUACGGAGGAUGCAAGCGUUAUCCGGAAUCAUUGGGCGUAAAGCGUCCGCAGGUGGCUGUUCAAGUCUGCUGUUAAAGACAGAAGCUCAACUUCUGAACAGCAGUGGAAACUGGACGGCUAGAGUACGGUAGGGGUUGAGGGAAUUCCCAGUGUAGCGGUGAAAUGCGUAGAUAUUGGGAAGAACACCAGUGGCGAAGGCGCUCAACUGGAUCGUAACUGACACUCAGGGACGAAAGCUAGGGUAGCGAAAGGGAUUAGAUACCCCUGUAGUCUUAGCUGUAAACGAUGAACACUAGGCGUUGCUUGUAUCGACCCGAGCAGUGCCGUAGCCAACGCGCUAAGUGUUCCGCCUGGGGAGUACGCACGCAAGUGUGAAACUCAAAGGAAUUGACGGGGGCCCGCACAAGCGGUGGAGUAUGUGGUUUAAUUCGAUGCAACGCGAAGAACCUUACCAGGACUUGACAUCUCGAGAACUGAACCUAAUAGUUCAGGUGCCUUAGGGAACUCGAAGACAGGUGGUGCAUGGCUGUCGUCAGCUCGUGUCGUGAGAUGUUGGGUUAAGUCCCGCAACGAGCGCAACCCUCGUUCUUAGUUGCCAGCAUUAAGUUGGGCACUUUAGGAAGACUGCCGGUGACAAACCGGAGGAAGGUGGGGAUGACGUCAAGUCAGCAUGCCCCUUACGUUCUGGGCUACACACGUACUACAAUGGUUGGGACAAAGGGCAGCGAGCUCGCAAGAGUCAGCGAAUCUCAUCAAACCCAGCCUCAGUUCAGACUGCAGGCUGCAACUCGCCUGCAUGAAGGAGGAAUCGCUAGUAAUCGCAGGUCAGCAUACUGCGGUGAAUUCGUUCCCGGGCCUUGUACACACCGCCCGUCACACCAUGGAAGUUGGCCACGCCCGAAGUCGUUACCCUAACCCUGUAUAGGGAGGGGGAUGCCGAAGGCAGGGCUGGUGACUAGGGUGAAGUCGUAACAAGGUAGCCGUACCGGAAGGUGUGGCUGGAUCACCUCCUU